CACGUAGGGGGCGAGCGUUGUCCGGAUUUAUUGGGCGUAAAGAGCUCGUAGGCGGUUCAGUAAGUCGGGUGUGAAAACUUUGGGCUUAACCCAAAGCGUGCAUCCGAUACUGCUGUGACUUGAGUUCGGUAGGGGAGUGGGGAAUUCCUAGUGUAGCGGUGAAAUGCGCAGAUAUUAGGAGGAACACCGGUGGCGAAGGCGCCACUCUGGGCCGAAACUGACGCUGAGGAGCGAAAGCAUGGGUAGCAAACAGG
RNAcentral lists this ribosomal RNA (254 nucleotides) under uncultured prokaryote. RNAcentral's name for it is "partial 16S ribosomal RNA". It matches the Rfam family "Bacterial small subunit ribosomal RNA", at positions 524 to 776 of the family's 1533-position model. The record is from RNAcentral.